This 616-nucleotide long non-coding RNA is filed under the name Androctonus crassicauda. Lineage: Eukaryota; Metazoa; Arthropoda; Arachnida; Scorpiones; Buthidae. The record is from RNAcentral.
CUUUUUGUUUACUUGACAUCAUGUUACACCAAAUUACUGAACACACUAUAAAAUACAAUAUACUAUAUUGAACUUUGAACAAAAUUAAAAUCAACACACAGAAGCUGAAAGUACAAAGCUUGAUACCAAUUUUAUGAACUUGAUAAUGAAGCUUGACACAAUAAAAUAAAAAAGAGAUGAUAGCAACAGAAGACUUAACAAAUUUAUUCUGUCAACUCUUGACUUCAUUGCACUGAUAAUGAGUCUUGCCUCUAUAUUCUCUAUAGCAAUGGUCACUAUAACAGACAGACAGAUAACACAAAAUUCAAAAGUCAUGGACUAUUACAAAUGUUACAGAAUGGGAAUUGAAAUUUGUGCACUUAUGACAGUUAUAUCAAAAUUGGAUGGAAUGCUACAUGUCAUAAAAUCAGCUCAUAAAACAGGAGUUGUUUGCUCUAAUGGUGUUCAUUAUACACAUGAAUUUUUAACAUUAGAAGAUAGACUGGUCAAACCAUUUUAUGCCAAAACAAUCAUUAAAUGGGAAUAUUCAUUAUUUUAGGACUGCUGACAAUGGGGUUACAAUGUAUUUAAUUAUAGUAGUUGUACUUAAACUGAAAUUGCUGAAUGUUUAUUAAUC